RNAcentral lists this ribosomal RNA (300 nucleotides) under Symbiodinium sp. clade A. RNAcentral describes it as "partial Eukaryotic large subunit ribosomal RNA". It matches the Rfam family "Eukaryotic large subunit ribosomal RNA", at positions 1932 to 2218 of the family's 3401-position model. The record is from RNAcentral. Lineage: Eukaryota; Dinophyceae; Suessiales; Symbiodiniaceae.
AACUUCGGGAUAAGGAUUGGCUCUAAGCAUUGGGUGUACGAGUCUGUAGGAAGAAGCCGGAAGCCUGGCGCUUCUAGGGCUGGCUAGCCUUCGGGCAGGCCGGCCUCGGAGGCGUCGGGAGGCCGGUGGGCGUCUGCAGAUGGGAAGGGCGUUAAAACCUGGAACAUUUCGUGCACAACUAACAAUGAACUUAGAACUGAUACGGACAAGGGGAAUCCGACUGUUUAAUUAAAACAAAGCAUUGUGAUGGCCUUAGCAGGUGUUGAUACAAUGUGAAUUCUGCCCAGUGCUCUGAAUGUC